Molecule: ribosomal RNA, 425 nt
Filed under: uncultured bacterium
Lineage: Bacteria
Description: bacterial SSU rRNA
Rfam family: Bacterial small subunit ribosomal RNA
Source: RNAcentral
GUGGGGAAUAUUGGACAAUGGGCGAAAGCCUGAUCCAGCAAUGCCGCGUGAGUGAUGAAGGCCUUAGGGUUGUAAAGCUCUUUUACCAGGGAUGAUAAUGACAGUACCUGGAGAAUAAGCUCCGGCUAACUCCGUGCCAGCAGCCGCGGUAAUACGGAGGGAGCUAGCGUUGUUCGGAAUUACUGGGCGUAAAGCGCGCGUAGGCGGUCCAUCAAGUCAGAGGUGAAAGCCCGGGGCUCAACCCCGGAACUGCCUUUGAAACUAGCGGACUAGAAUCUUGGAGAGGUCAGUGGAAUUCCGAGUGUAGAGGUGAAAUUCGUAGAUAUUCGGAAGAACACCAGUGGCGAAGGCGACUGACUGGACAAGUAUUGACGCUGAGGUGCGAAAGCGUGGGGAGCAAACAGGAUUAGAAACCCGGGUAGUCC